CCCAUGCCCUUGCCCCUGCCCCAGCCCCAGGCCCAAGCCAGUCCUACCCCAGCCCCAGGCCAGUCCUAGCCACAGCCCGGAUUCUCUCAACCCCAGCCCCAGUCCCAAAACCCACCCUAGAGACAUUCCAAUCUUCAUUGAUUGAGUGCUAAAAAUGCAGUGUCCAUAACUCAUCCUGGCAAACUGAGCUCUCCUGUCUAUCCCCUCCGUGCUCAUUGCCUGAGUCCCAAUUUUCACUUAAUGGACACAGUCCUUCCUACUGGUACACGGACUCAAAGUAUUACAACAAAGAACUCUUGUCCCACAUGUUAAUCAAGAAAUGCCCACUGAACAAGAGUUUCAUUUCAGAGAAUUACCAUCAAGGCACCAUCUCCUAAAUCUCCUUUCUUUAAGGAAGGAAAAACUAGUCUGUCAUUGCUGCAGUCCUCACAGUCCCAACUGGCUGAGCAGCGCUCAGUAGCCUGUUCUCACACACUGUCUUGAGCACUCUUUGCACUGAGUGAUUCUUAUUGUCCAUAAUUUACCCACUGGAUUAGACCCCAGCUAGUCCAGCCCCAUUUGCGUUCAGCAGAGGGGCAGACACAAGUCUGUUAACAGACAGUUAAGGUGCUCAGUCCCAGUUCUCAAGGCCUUGAAUAUUAAGGGGCUACUAUAUCCCACUGCAUGGCAUCAUGGGUGCUAUCACCCCUCGUUAUAUCUUUUAAAUUGAUGGACAUAAAUUCGUUUGUCCAUGGUAGUGUGUACCAGUCCCAUCAGCUACCCUUAUUUCAGAUUGUAGCCGAAAACUCUGCACUGGGACAGUUUAUGUGGAUAAUCCUGAUGAGGAAGUGAACCUUUUCUCAAAGUCCUUGUACAACUUUAGCUUUACGUUAAGAGGGUGCUUAUUACCUAAAAUAAAGCCUCUUAUACAAUUGUGCAAAACUCUAGUUGCUCAAGUCUGUACUAACCAAGAUCCCAUACCCUCACACCCCAAUGGGUGACAAUGGGGGUGAGGGGGCAACCGACAAGGCCCCUUCUUUGUUCUGGUCUUUUGGCUGUGCUUGGGAUCAAACUAAGUCUUGUGCGUGCUAGUAAAGCACUCUGCCAUGGAGCUACAGCUCCACCUGGUGGCUGUUUGAGAAUAAGCAUCUUUAUGACGCUCGGGGCUGGCACUUAGUUCUUCUGCUUCUCGGUCCCAAUUACUGCAACUACGGGCAUUGCCACCACUUCUGCCUGUCUUUAUGUGCACAUUUGCAUUUGUCCAUCUUCCUGAGCAUUGGAUAAAGAAACCAAACUCAGUCAUUUCUUUAUUUAUCAAGACCUUUGAACUCAGAUUCAAUCUGUUCUGUUCUUAAUUUCCAGGCUGGCCCAGAACUUAUUUAUAUAACCCAGGCUGGCCUUGAGCUUAGGAUCAAGCCUUUACUUCACAAGUGCUGGCAUAAUUGGUGUCUACCACCAUGGCCUGCAGUCUCUCAGGCUGUGAUGUGCAUACUUCAUUUUGCUGUAGUAGUUAGUAUGCACUGGGUAAAGACCUUAACCAUUCAUUUGUAUUGCGGCAGGAGGUUAACUAGUACGUAAUUAAGAUCCUUAAAAAGGUAUACGUGCACAGUGUUAAUUGUCUCGAACAUAUUAUGUCCACAGCCGUGCCUUUUAGAUCAGGACCCCUGUACGUACCAAAACAAAGAGGCUCACUAACACUAUAGUCUCUUUCUUGAAACUAUAGAAAUGAUUGUAAUAUUGCCAAUGGCCCUUCACUUAAUGGAACUAUGUGCUGUUCACUUAAUGCUUUCUCAACCUGCUAAUGUACAUAAUGGCAAUUUCAGAAGGAUCAGUUUUACUCUUACUUUGAAGUACAGCAGUGGUGUUGACCUAUAAGGUCCUAUUUUGUGGCUUGCUAAUAAUGUCUGAUUGUAUUUGUCCUUUUCUGUUUGCUACAGAAGGAAAUCAUUCCCCACCCUUAUGCCUUUCCCUUUCAUCAGGGAAUGCACAUUGCCAAAGAUCCUUAUGUCUGAACAGUCAAAGUAUAAAACUAUAAUGGCCACAAUCAUGCACCUUGAAUAUUAGUGGGCCAUAAAUGGCACAUGACUCAUUCCAUUGAAUAAGAUUCUACUCUCAGACCUUUUGCAGUACAGCAAGGGUCACUAAUCUCUUGACUUCUCCAUCUUCCUGGACACUGGAUAAGGAUAUCCUCUCCUUUCCACUGCCUUUGAUUCCCAGAAGUGUCCAUUACUUUAAGAUCUUAAUAUUGUAUAAAGGGUGUGGCUUUAAUUAACCACACUAUGUCCCUUGAACAUUAAUGUACUUAAUAGGGACAUGAUUCAUUCAUUUUAAUAAAAAUAUUUGGACAGUUAUCCACAACCUUAUUACUUUGAGGACCUUUGUAUCUCUUUUGCACUACUGCAAGGGAUACUGUUUUUCCCAAGGUCCCUGAUAGUGGAGCAUUAAUACAGUGGAAAUUAUCUUUUGUCUUUGUCAGUAGACAAAGUUAUACUCUUUCAUUUGCACUAUGGCAGGGUAUGCUGAUCAACCAAGGCUGCCUUCUUUGGGACUGUUAGUAUGCACUGUAUGUUUUAUGUAUGAAUAUGCAUUUCCUCCUGCUCUGUGCACUAGAAAAGGAUCCCACUCACUUCCUUAUCACCUUCAGCGGGAAGUGGAAAGUUCACAUGCACAGUGUCUAAGCACUUCUUGUAUCAGAAACCUUGUACCCUCUUCCUCCGCUUUAAAGCAGAAAGAGGCUUUUACACUGUGCCGUUCAUUUGGACUUCAAUGUGCAUUAAUGCAGUUGUCCAUCCUUACCUUUGGAGUAGGAUUUACAUCCUUAUACUCCUUUGACAUCAGAGGCAUGUUAACAUUUUUUUCAGCACUUCUCUUAUAUAUAUAUAUAUAUAUAUAUUUAUAUUAAUAUGUAUACUUAUACAUAUGGACUUGUGUGGCAGAAAAGGUUCCUAAGUUUCUACCUUUUGACUGGGGCUGCUGAGGAGUGGUUAAUUGUUUAGAACCUCAGCAUCUGGAUGAUUACAAUGCAACAAUGUCAGUGGUCGAGUACUGAUUACUAGUUGGACCUCUGUACUCUCUUUGCAUACCAUCAGGGAUACUGACCAACCAAGCCCCCGAAUUGUUAAUGUGCAUAUUUGUAAUUACAAAUGCCUAGAAUACUAUGUUCUCAUCCUCCCUUUGCAUUACCGCAGGGGCUGCUGGUCCAUCUAAAAUGUCUGGGACUGUUAAUGAGCACAGUGAUUAUGACCAAUGGCUUAUUUGGGGACUAUUAAUAGGCACAAUGGCAGCUCUUGGUGGUUUAUUUUCUCCUCUCAUUGGCAUAGUAAAGUAAAAUAUCGCAGUAUGUCAAUGCUUUUUCCCCCCCACAACGACCCAGAUUUCCAUCCCCUUUGCAUUUCCAGUACACAAAAUCCUAAAUGGCCACGACCUCAUACUUUAUACAGUUUUCCCUCUGCCCGGCCCCUUGUCCAUGGGAUACUCUUAUUAUGACUGGCCUUCUCUUGACUUCAAGUCAGCAAGCCCAGAAGCCAUCAGUUACCCGCUUCCUAUGGCUGCAAUGGUUCAUUUGCACUCUCCUUGGUCCUACCCAUCGAACAGAAACACUUCCACUGCAUUAUUCUGUCAGUUGCCCAAGGCACCUUGUGUGUCGUGAAUGAACACGGUAUUGAUUGAGACUACUUUGAUGUGUUUAUACACGUUAACUAUCAAAAGCAGGCCAAAACUUGGUGGAUGGACCUUCACUAUUUAGCUUGCAUUUCUUAAUUACUCCAAUUCCAAUUGCAUUCUAGGGCCAGGAAUCAUUCCAUUCCUGCCUACCUUGAUUAAUGCUUUACUGUGCAAAAAUAUUCCAGGCAAGUUGCUCAGGGAGCUGAAUUGCCACCUUUUAUUUGGGGCUUUCCUUGUACAGUAUCAAACUGAAAACUGUCUCCCAGAGAAGGAGGAGGAGCUAGCACUUGGUUUACAGUGUUCCUCCAGGAGCCAACUGCCUGCUUAAGAACCGCAAACUUGCUUCAUUUUUGUGUGUUGCUAUUGUUAGAGUGCCAACUGCCAGAAAAGUUCUUGAUGGUUGAUUCCUUAAGAAAGGCGUUUGGAUGGCAAGGUGGAAUGGACUGUGCGAUCAUUAGCUUUUCUGAAGUAAAAAUAUCCGUUUCUAUUAUAUAUCUGAUGACCAGCGGUGUCUCUCAUUUCCUGAGGGUGGCGAGUCUGUGGACAGAUCACUCUAACUGUUGCUGUUCCAGUACCAUCAAAGCAGUUGUGGACCGGAAUGCUUAAGACCAGCAUGUCUGUUUGGUCUGUACUACCAGUUUAAAAACAAAAAUCAACCUUUGUGUGACCUUUAGUGUCAUUAUCUUUUAGGAAAAUGACCAAACUCUCUAAUCUUCAAAUUUGGUCAGACAUUGAACACCAGCCCCUGCUUAUUUUAAAAGGGUAGCUGUGAAUGGAUGAAAUGAGAGACGAUGUUAAGUUGCCUUUGAAAAUUCUAGGUCAUCACAUUUGAUUAAUUCACUAUUAUCUGCCAUUAAAUUCUGGCAAUAAUUUGAAGUAGCUUAAAAAAAAAAAGAACCACCCUAAAGUGGGAACUUUAAAAUGAUGGAGCGUGUUUCCCCCACUUACAUGUUAAAACAUAUAGGCCAAGAUCUCAUGAUUCUUUUGAGAGUAUACUUCAAAGAGAGAUCUGCCUAGUAAGAAGAGGGUUUUGCGGCCGCCGAGUAUUUGAGCUUUUUGGUUUUUGAUUUUUUAACUAGUGUGUGUGAAUGUGGCUGUGUGUGUGUGCUCACAUGUGCACUCGAGUAUCUGUACAAGUAUUCACAUGGUGACCAGAGAGCAACUAGUUUUUCUAUCUUGUGGGUCCUGGCGAUCAAACGCCGAUCGUCAGGUUUGGCAGCACGUGCCUUUUCCAUCGGAACCAUCUUGCCAGCCCGCUGCUGAGCUUUUAAUGUGACAUUGCUGAUGAAAACAGGCAUCACAACAGCAGCAAUUCUUCAAAGUUACUGAAGAAAAAAAAAAGAUACUAUUUUUCUGAGAAGGAUAUCAAGAAAUCCACCCAGUUCACGAUCCAGCUUGAACUUCGGCUCUUCAGACAGCUACAGUAUAGACUAGCUGUUUCAGACUACAGGAUGAAUUGGAGUUGGUUUUGUACCCUGACUGAAGAAGGAUGGCCUGGUUUUAGAGGGAUGAAUUCCAGACAGCAUCCAAAGGGACAAUCCCAGCAUGAGACACUAGGAUUGCCAGCAGCUGAUACAGGCUUCAUUCAAAUUCAGAUCUUUCCUUUUGAGACUCCGGACAAGCCUAGCUAAUCUGAGCAAAUAACUUGCAGGCCACAUGGAGAAAAAGAUCUUCCCCCAGAAGUAUGGGCUUGUUGCUUUGCAGUGCUGGUGACCUAUUCCCUUUGACGAUCCCUAGGAGGAGAUGGGGCAUGAGGAUCCUCCAGGGGAAUAGCUCACCACCACUGGGCAACAGCCCUAACCCAGGGGGUUUUAGUGAGACACUUUGCUGAACCCAGCAAGGAAGAUAGAGUCAAAGACAGCCACCCUACAUCAAAAUAGGAGAAAAGCUGCCACAGUAGUGGCACUGACUUCACGAGCAAGUCAUUCUGUUUCAUCUAGUUCUCAAAGCCUCCCUGGGAGCUCUGUUGGAGAACUUUACCAGCUGUUUACAUACCUCAAGAUUCAUUGUGCUAGCGACGAGACAGAAUAUACGCUCCGUCUAGUAAAUCCUCAUCCUUCCUCAAAGCAGCACAGAGAGCUGGGUCUUCGGAGGGAUCACAAAAUGUGAACACAGGAAAGCAAGUCAGCUCUAUGACCCAAGGAUCAACAUGGCUGCCUCUUAACACAACAGAAUGAAUGUGUAUUGGGUUGUGUGUCCUCAUUGUUUUAUGCAUCUAUUUCUUCCUUGCUCUGUGUGUCCAAUUCUUCUUCAGUGUAUCUGUUUCUUCCUUGCUUUGUGUGUCUAAUUCUUCUUCAGUGUAUCUGUUU
This is a long non-coding RNA of Peromyscus leucopus (white-footed mouse), 5951 nucleotides long. RefSeq lists it as uncharacterized. Lineage: Eukaryota; Metazoa; Chordata; Mammalia; Rodentia; Cricetidae. The transcript is spliced from 7 exons. The record is from RefSeq and is a predicted model, not a curated record.